RNAcentral lists this unclassified non-coding RNA (4018 nucleotides) under Hevea brasiliensis (rubber tree). The record is from RNAcentral. Lineage: Eukaryota; Viridiplantae; Streptophyta; Magnoliopsida; Malpighiales; Euphorbiaceae.
AAUAAACCCAAUCUCUCUGUCUGUUACAAUUAGGCCAUGGCAGAUUGCCAGAAAGAGUAGGCAGUAGCAGACAUUUAUUACAACUGGAUCCUUUUGGUUCUGUCUAUUUGUGCCUAUUCCUCCAAUCAAAUCCCCUACCCAACCCCUUCCUAUUUUCUGCACAAAAUACCCUUUCCCUUCUUUUCUCACAUUCAUAUACAAAAUUCUUAAUCACUGGAGCUAAGAUAUGAAACAGAAACAAUCCCAAUUACCAUUACCAAAUUGGACAUGAAUUUGGCCAACAAGCAAACAAUAAUUGAUUCAUUACAAUAUGAUUACAUAUUACAGAUCUAAUUAGCAAAAACCCAUAUUAAAUACAACAAGAAAAAGAUGAAAAAAAAAACAAGCAAACAAAAUCCCAAGCCAAAUUUAGACAUACAACAAAAAUAAAAUUUAAAUAAAACCCGAAAUUAGAGUUAAUAAAAACAUACUCCUAUAUAUUUAGUUAAUAAUAUCAUAUGAUUAUUGUAAUUCAUCUCCCUCUGUUACUGAAAUUCAUCUUUUCAUAAUACCGUAUCGAAAGCAGAGACAAGGAGAGAUGCACCUCGUCCUUUCCCCACCUAGCCGGCGGUUUGGAGCCAAUCAUCGCCGGGAAAGGAGACCAAGACGACGACGACGACGAACUUGAAGCUGUGGAACUUGAUUGUGGUUUAGAGAGAGGCAACAGGUACUGGGAGUGAAGGCGACGAAACCCACCAAGAGCUAGUACAACGGAUCUCAGUUGUUGGAUACCGCAACCGAUAUUAGCCGAGUGCCUAGUACAGAUCAACUCCCAUAGCCUCUCGUCCUGCGCUGUCCUGUGACAUUGCUUACUCACACAGGCAGCUCUCCCCAGCGUCCUCGCAUCCACAUGUUUGAAGACCUCAAAAAGCAAAUUCUCGUCUAAAUUCACAAACCCAGUUCCCGUAUUAAGUCCAUCCUCGAUUUUUUCCUCUUCUUCUUCCUGUAGGUGCUUCAUCUUCUUCAUUUUGAUAUCGUCUCCGGUGACCGGAGCAGCGUUUUGAGUUUGAGUAUCAAGUGAGCGCUUCAUUAAAGAAAUUAAUCACAGACAGAGAGAGAAAAAGAGAGAGAGAGAGAGAGAGGGUUUUGUGAUUUGAUGUCAUCACCGACGGCGUCGUAUUGGUGCUACAGGUGCAGCCGUUUCGUUCGAGCAUGGAGGCAGGAGGGGGCCGAGGACAGAAUCACUUGUCCAGACUGCGAAACCGGGUUCGUCGAAGAGCUCGAGAUCCAAGAAGACCCGUCCAAUCGGAGAUUGCUUCCUCCGUCUUCUUCUGCGGCUGCCGCGGCAGCCAGCGCCGCUAUGUUAAUGAUUGGUACUCUUCCGACAACAGAUCAAAAUAAUCCUAUUCGUAGAAACCGUAGAAACGCCGGUGACCGUUCCCCGAUUAACCCUGUCAUCGUACUUCGAGGAGGAGGAGGAGCAGGACAAUCCGAUGGUGGUGAGAACGAGGGUAGUAGACGCGGAUUCGAGUUGUAUUAUGACGAUGGAAGUGGGUCUGGGUUGAGACCGUUGCCGCCGAGCAUGUCGGAUUUUUUACUGGGAUCUGGGUUUGAAAGGUUAUUGGAUCAGAUAUCGCAGAUUGAAAUCAAUGGGCUAGGCAGAUACGAGCAUCCGCCGGCGACGAAAUCGGCGAUUGAGUCGAUGCCAACUGUAAUUAUAAGCGAGUGGCACACGUCCAUGGAGUUGCACUGUGCGGUGUGUAAAGAGCCCUUCGAAUUGGAAUCGGAGGCGCGAGAAAUGCCUUGUAAGCACAUAUAUCAUUCGGAUUGUAUACUUCCAUGGCUCUCACUUCGAAAUUCAUGCCCAGUUUGCCGGCACGAGUUGCCUGGGGAUGAUGAAUCGAGUAACGGGCAGGUCUUGGGGGAGAAUAAUAAUGAUAAUGAGGAAGCGGCUGUGGGAUUGACGAUAUGGAGGUUGCCGGGAGGUGGGUAUGCAGUGGGGAGGCUUACUGGAGCAAGGAGUGGGAUGAGAGAGCUGCCUGUGGUUUAUACAGAGAUGGACGGUGGGUUUAAUAAUGGGGGUUUGCCUAGAAGGAUAUCAUGGGGGGCAAGAGGAGGGAGUAGAGGGAGAGAGAACGAAGGUGGCGGUGGAGGAGGAGGACGCGGUGGUUGGCUUGAUUUGGGUCGGGCUUUAAGGCAUUGGUUUACUUGUUUUAGUGGUGGAGUUGCUGGAGAGGGCUCAAAUUCAGAUUCAAGAAUUAGGAGGGGAAGGAGCAGGUCUUUUUGGCUUUUUAAUAACACGGCUUCUUCAAGGAGGAGAAGGAGAAGGUGAAAGCUGAAAACUUUGACUUUCAUGGUGGUUUUUAGUUAUUUGUAAAUAUGAAUAUAUGAUAAAGCUGAAGAUUAAACAAGAAAAGCCCUUUUUUGUUGAAUUUGGAAAUAAGGGCAAUUUGAAGAAAAUGAAUUAAGCGAGAAGCAGCAGAAGAAUGGCAUUUGGAGAGUUAUAGAGGCACAGGGAAAGCUCCCAGUCCUCUGUUAGUUUCAUGUUUUUUCUCUUUUUUUUUUCCCCUUUUUUUUUUCAUCAUCAUCUGCAUUUACAAAGACUAAUGACCAGAUAUUAGGUUCUUUGCCUGACCCUCCUGCCGUUGGUAUCACCGCCAUCAGAGAGUUGGGCCCAUACACUACGAGAUUUUCCGCCUCCACUACUGCAGUCCUCCUCGCAACCAGCCACGGUCUUCAGUAGCUCCGAUUGCAGUGAUGGGCAGUUCUCCUUGAGGUACUCAAAGCCAUCCGACCGCAUUACAGCUGCAAGGUUUUCAGCAGCAAAAUUUAGGCAAACAGCUUUUAAUUCUGUAGCAUGAUGACAGUCGGCCAAGGCCAAAAUGCUGGCAACAGAGCUCACAGAUAUAUCCUUGCAAAGAUGAGACUCACACAUCAAUCUGAGCCUGUCCAGACCAUACCUGUCAGCUGCUGCUAACAGUUUUGCCGUUAAUGUUUCAGAUACCAAGGAAACACAAGACGAGCUAGAUGUCUCCAUGUCCACAUCUUCAGUGAGAGUAUCUCGGUAAAUGAAAUGCAACAUGGCCUUGAAAACUUUAGGUUCUAAAUCAGUAAUAUGAACCACUUGCUUGUCUUCUUCUUCGGCAUCAAAAAAUUUAGACCGAAAAAAAGGAGAUCGAGCAGCCAAAACCAACUUGUGAGCAUGGAUCUUUUCCCCUGCCACAUUAAAAGUAAUGUCUGAACCUUCCAUAUUUUCAAGCAGCAUGCCAAAAUGUGCUCCUAUAUCAGACUCUGGAACCUGAAUUGAGUGUAAUCGAGGACAAUCUAUUGCUGAAACCACUACCCCAACAGUACAAUUUAUUUUCAGGCAAUCAUCCUUGAGAAAGUCAGAUGUUUCAAGCAAAGCUCGUCUGAAAAAUCGCUUGUAUCCCCACAUGCUACCGCGAUACUUAAGCGUGUAGGGGCCACUCUCAAGCGAGCGAUCGAAAUGGCUAUGAACCUUAUGCUUCCCUUUCCCACUCUGAUCAACUAGCGUAAGCUCGAACAACGCCCUGACGUCGGUACCCUCGCUGGCAAGGGCGAUGAAGACUGAGACGUAUGUUGAAUUAUCCUCCGGAUUCUUGCCGUCAGGAUAGAAGUAUAUCGCCCACUGGUACCCUCCCACCGUGAAAUUAUCGCUCGCAAUGUGCUUGCCCACUCCCAUUCCCUUGGCGAGCGAAUAGCCCUGGAUCACGAACCGGUGCGAGCCAUUCACCGUUUCGGUAACCGACCGGGAGGACGAUGGCGAGACCAGAGGGCUGGUCUCGGACUUGGGUACAAUGGUGUUGGUCAUUGUGCGGAGAAAAUCGAAAUUGGGGAAUUAUACAUGGAAUUGAAGGGAAAUUUUUGAAGAAUUAGAUUAGACUGGGGGAUGGGUGUAAGAAUUUGAGUGAGAAAUUGUGAGGUUUUGGUUAUGAAUUUGGGAAAUGAGAAAGAAUUCGCUAGAAUUUUGAUCUUAGUAACGGAGGUUUUUGUUUUUGUUUUUGUAUUUUGUAAUCCA